RNAcentral lists this ribosomal RNA (460 nucleotides) under uncultured Acidimicrobiales bacterium. RNAcentral describes it as "bacterial SSU rRNA". It matches the Rfam family "Bacterial small subunit ribosomal RNA", at positions 28 to 505 of the family's 1533-position model. The record is from RNAcentral. Lineage: Bacteria; Bacillati; Actinomycetota; Acidimicrobiia; Acidimicrobiales.
GACGAACGCUGGCGGCGUGCUUAACACAUGCAAGUCGAACGAACUCGACCUUCGGGUCAUAUGAGUGAGUGGCGAACGGGUGAGUAACACGUGAGAAACCUGCCCCGAAGUUCGGAAUAACUCAGGGAAACUUGAGCUAAUACCGGAUACCCCCUUCAGGCCGAAUGGUCAGAAGAGGAAAGAUUUAUCGCUUUGGGAGGGUCUCGCGGCUUAUCAGCUAGUUGGUGAGGUAAUGGCUCACCAAGGCAUUGACGAGUAGCUAGUCUGAGAGGACGAAUAGCCACACUGGAACUGAGACACGGUCCAGACUCCUACGGGAGGCAGCAGUGGGGAAUCUUGCACAAUGGGCGAAAGCCUGAUGCAGCGACGCCGCGUGGGGGAUGAAGGCCUUAGGGUCGUAAACCCCUUUCAGUAGGGACGAAAAUGACGGUACCUACAGAAGAAGCCCCGGCCAACUACG